AUUGAACGCUGGCGGCAGGCCUAACACAUGCAAGUCGAGCGAGCGGCGGACGGGUGAGUAAUGUCUGGGAAACUGCCUGAUGGAGGGGGAUAACUACUGGAAACGGUAGCUAAUACCGCAUACCAUCAGAUGUGCCCAGAUGGGAUUAGCUAGUAGGUGGGGUAACGGCUCACCUAGGCGACGAUCCCUAUCUGAUCUGAGAGGAUGACCAGCCACACUGGAACUGAGACACGUUCCAGACUCCAACGGGAGGCAGCGGUGGGGAAUAUUUCACAAUAGGCGCAAGCCUGAUGCAGCCAUGCCGCGUGUGUGAAGAAGGCCUUCGGGUUGGAAAGCACUUUCAGCGGGGAGGCGUUACCCGCAGGAGGAACACCAGCUGACGCCGUGCCAGCAGCCGCGGUAAUUC
Molecule: ribosomal RNA, 406 nt
Filed under: uncultured bacterium
Lineage: Bacteria
Description: partial 16S ribosomal RNA
Rfam family: Bacterial small subunit ribosomal RNA
Source: RNAcentral